Long non-coding RNA from Drosophila mauritiana, 809 nucleotides. RefSeq lists it as uncharacterized. The record is from RefSeq and is a predicted model, not a curated record. The transcript is spliced from 2 exons. NCBI's taxonomy places the organism in Eukaryota, Metazoa, Arthropoda, Insecta, Diptera, Drosophilidae.
GCAGGUUCGUUGAACAAUGGGCAAAAAAUAAAGAGCGAAAAAAAAGAGAAAAAGGUCAUUUUCAGUAGAAGAGCAGGUUUAAGACUUAGACUCUGUAUGUGGAACGGAAUGGUUCUCGGUCUAUUGUGCUCGAGGUAUAAUGACAACAAAAGGAGCUCAGCUUGAUAACAAUGGAGCUGUAUAUUAAUUAAUUCACGACCUGGUGUUAGAAAAAAUUACCAACAAACGUUAAUCUUCAAAGCGAGGAAGCUGCUUUCAAUUAAUAACUAAAAUAUAACACUUAAACAGUUAAUUAUGGAGUUUGGAUCAUUUAAAUUAAUGUACAUUUACACACUGUCUGGCAAAUUUGACUUGUUGUGAAUUUCAUACCGCAAUUAAGUAAUAGCGUUUUUCGCAUUGGAGCCGGUUUCUCGUAGCCAAUCGCAGCUUAUGUGAGCUGCAGCUUAAAUCCUUCAGUAUUUAAUUAAGCUAAAUUAAAAAGUUUAUUUAACUCCGAUUGGUUGUUAAACCAAUAUUUAAUGUGAACUUCAGUUUUAAACGCUUCAAUGCCAUUUUAGCCACUUAGAUGGAACUCCAAAAGUAAAUAUUAUGUGGCGGUGGCAAAUGGAGACAUUAAGAACUAAAGCACAUAAAUACGUAUGCAAAUGUAUAUAUAUACACAAAACAACAUAAAAAACCAGUUUUUUUUAUGAGAGUAAAGUGCUUUUAGUACUUGAGUUGCGAGGGUUGAAGUUGUAUAUGUGAUAAAGUGCUCAUUUAUUGCGCUACUGCCUUUAAAACAAUGCAUUAAAUACGAAAUAAACAAAAAA